Molecule: long non-coding RNA, 2546 nt
Organism: Passer domesticus (house sparrow)
Lineage: Eukaryota; Metazoa; Chordata; Aves; Passeriformes; Passeridae
Exons: 4
Source: RefSeq, a predicted model, not a curated record
UGGCGAGGCGGCCUUCUUUUGCAUCUCACACGGACCGGCAUCUCUACAGAUAAGUCGAUGGCUAUGACCCACAGAGGGGAUGAUAGUGGGGUGCUGGGUUGGGACUUACAGGGAGGGAUUUUUGAGUCUGCUUUGGUGAUGGGGAUGUCCAAGAAGUGGCCCCUUAGGCCACACAAAAGCCAAGCGUCACUUUUGAUCCCAGUGCUGAGGUGCGCAGGGCAGAGCAGUCCUGGAGUGUAUCGUGUCAGUUAUCUAUUGUGCGUUCUGUGUGUUUGGCUUUCUCAUGUCUUUUACCUUAGCCCUUUGAGGGGCCUAUCAGAAACUCUGGCAUCAUUCUUAGCAUCUGUGAUCUCUGCAUUUCUUGGCCUGGCACCAAUGCCACAGGACUUUUGACUCGGGAGCUCGGACAGGCUUCAGAAUUGCACCUCUCUUUAGAAGCAUCCAGUCAGAUGUCUUUGCAGGUCUUGUUCUGAGCUGUAUGGACAGCUGUGCCUUGCAAGGAUCUAUUAUUGGGGAUUAGGACUUGUAAGAAUGUGAGGAUAGGUAGAGGAUGCUGACCGUAGGAGUCACAGGCAUCCAUCUUUGCAGUUCUUAAAAGAAAUCAUUCAGUUAGCAUCAUUUUCCUCCACGGUUCUCUGAGCCUCAUCGGCUCACCAUCGGUCUCACCUAUGUCCUCUCAUUUUGCAUUCUCUGGGUCCUUGCAGUCAUUCCUCUUGCCAAGAGAUUCCUGUCCCUGUUGUGUUCCCCUUGUUUGUCCUGUCCUGUUCUGUGUCACUGGUGUCUGCACGUGUUUGUGUCAGAGCUGCUCUGCCUUGCUGCAUAGUCUGGUGUAAUAGGACAAAUCCUGGGGGCUUGAAAUUUGUAAUGUGGGCUGUAGUUGGACUCUAGAUGAUAUUCCUAGGCUGACCCAGAUGGCUGGAGCUGUGAAGUGGUCCUGCAGCCCUUUGACAUUUUUCCAACUUUCUUUCAGAUGCAGAUGGAUAAAAUCCAUGGCAGAGCACCCCAUCCCAGGAAGUAAAGCAAUAUAGCAACAGUCAAGUUGAAGUGGUCAAGGCAAUCCACUCAGGUUAUGCCAAGCCCCUGUCACCAACUGGUCAAUGGACCAGGUUUGCUGCUCUCAUGAGCCUGUGGAGGUAUUGCGGGACCCUGCGAUGAAGCCUUCAAAUUUUCUAUUUAAAGGUUGCUUCUGGGUAGCCCUCAGGAAUGGCCAAGGAGCCAUGGUGAGUUGGGGGGGUAUCGAGGAGGAGCUGGGGUCCGCUCAGUUCUCAGCUAUCCUACAUCACUUCAUCUCCUCUUUACCCAGGCGUACCCUGCGACGACAGCGUCGGUCUCAGAGCACGGCCGAAGCGUGCGGGCCGAGGACCCGGUCAUUCUUAGGAGGCGUUGAGUAGCAGAAUUUUUGGGUUUUGGUCGAUAUGCUGCUAAGAUGAUGCACUGAUGUCUGGUUUCCUUUAUCUUGACCGACUAGGAGACAGCAGCCCGGUGACAGCAGGAACCUCCCAGACAGCCUGGUGGCCUUGCUUUGCACCUGAUGUGGAUUCUCAUUCCUGGACAGCCAAGAGAUAAGUUGAGGGCUGUGACUUACAGAGGGGAUGGAAGGGGGUUGCUGUGUCAGGACUCACCAGGAGGGAUUUUUGAGUCAGCUUUGGAGCUGAGGAUAUCCAGGAAAUGUUGUCUUGAGGCCACACAAAAGCAGAGUGUCACUUUUGGUCCCAGAGCUGAGCAGAGGAGGGCAGUCCCGGUGUGUUUUGUCAUGUGACUAUUGUGCAUUGUGUUGUGUGGCUGUCUCAUGUCUUUUACCUUAGCCCUUUGAGGGGCCUAUCAGUAACCCUGGCAUCAUUCUUAGCAUCUGUGAUCUCUGCAUUUCUUGGCCUGGUACCAAUGCCACAGGACAUUUGACUCAGGAGCUUGGACAGGCAUUGGAAUUGAAUUUCUCUUUAGGAGCAUCCAGUCAGAUUUUCUGCAGGUCUUGUUCUGAGCUGUACAUACUGCUGUGCAUUGUAAAGAUCCAUUAUGGCAGAUUAGGGCUUGUAAGAAUGCAAGGAUAGGUAGAGGAUUCUGGCCGUAGGAUUCUCAGACAUCCAUCUUUGUAGUUCUUGGAAUAAACCAUUCUCUUAGCAGAUUCUUCCUCCAGGGUUCUCUGAGCCUCAUCGGUCUCACCUCGGUCAUCUAAUCUUGCGUUCUCUCAGUCCUUGCAGUCAUUCUUGCCAAGAGAUUUCUGUCCUUGUUGUGUCCCCCUUGUUUGUCCUGUCCUGUCCUGUGUCACGGGUGUCUGCACAUAUUUGUACCGGAGCUGCUCUGCCCUGCUGCCUAGUCUGGUGUAAUAGGACAAAUCCUGGGGGCUUGAAAUUCGUAGUGUGGGCUGUAGUUGGAUUAUAGAUGGGAUUUGUAGAUGGACCCAAGAUGUCUGGAGCUGUGAAGUUAUCCUGCAGCCCUUUGACAUUUGUCCUCACUUGCUUUUAGAUACAGGCGGAUAAAAUCCAUGGCAGAGCACCCCAUCCCAGGAAGUAAAACCACAUAUCAGAAGUCAAGGCGGGGUGGUCAAG